CGUGAGCAACCUGCCCUGGACUCUGGGAUAAGCGCUGGAAACGGCGUCUAAUACUGGAUAUGAGACGUGAUCGCAUGGUCGUGUUUGGAAAGAUUUUUCGGUCUGGGAUGGGCUCGCGGCCUAUCAGCUUGUUGGUGAGGUAAUGGCUCACCAAGGCGUCGACGGGUAGCCGGCCUGAGAGGGUGACCGGCCACACUGGGACUGAGACACGGCCCAGACUCCUACGGGAGGCAGCAGUGGGGAAUAUUGCACAAUGGGCGGAAGCCUGAUGCAGCAACGCCGCGUGAGGGAUGACGGCCUUCGGGUUGUAAACCUCUUUUAGCAGGGAAGAAGCGAAAGUGACGGUACCUGCAGAAAAAGCGCCGGCUAACUACGUGCCAGCAGCCGCGGUAAUACGUAGGGCGCAAGCGUUAUCCGGAAUUAUUGGGCGUAAAGAGCUCGUAGGCGGUUUGUCGCGUCUGCUGUGAAAUCCCGAGGCUCAACCUCGGGCCUGCAGUGGGUACGGGCAGACUAGAGUGCGGUAGGGGAGAUUGGAAUUCCUGGUGUAGCGGUGGAAUGCGCAGAUAUCAGGAGGAACACCGAUGGCGAAGGCAGAUCUCUGGGCCGUAACUGACGCUGAGGAGCGAAAGGGUGGGGAGCAAACAGGCU
RNAcentral lists this ribosomal RNA (648 nucleotides) under Microbacterium sp. Its description in RNAcentral is "bacterial SSU rRNA". It matches the Rfam family "Bacterial small subunit ribosomal RNA", at positions 116 to 778 of the family's 1533-position model. The record is from RNAcentral. Lineage: Bacteria; Bacillati; Actinomycetota; Actinomycetes; Micrococcales; Microbacteriaceae.